This 301-nucleotide ribosomal RNA is filed under the name uncultured bacterium. Its description in RNAcentral is "partial 16S ribosomal RNA". It matches the Rfam family "Bacterial small subunit ribosomal RNA", at positions 509 to 807 of the family's 1533-position model. The record is from RNAcentral.
CAGCCGCCGCGGUAAGACAGAGGAUGCAAGCGUUAUUCGGAAUGAUUGGGCGUAAAGCGUCUGUAGGUGGCUUUUCAAGUCCACCGUCAAAUCCCCGGGCUCAACCCUGGACAAGCAGUGGAAACUACCAAGCUGGAGUACGGUAGGGGUAGAGGGAAUUUCCGGUGGAGCGGUGAAAUGCGUUGAGAUCGGAAAGAACACCAACGACGAAAGCACUCUGCUGGGCCGACACUGAUACUGAGAGACGAAAGCUAGGGGAGCAAAUGGGAUUAGAUACCCCUGUAGUCCCUGUCUCUUAUAC